RNAcentral lists this long non-coding RNA (1161 nucleotides) under Elaeis guineensis (African oil palm). RNAcentral's name for it is "long non-coding RNA (EGUI_LNC038116)". Lineage: Eukaryota; Viridiplantae; Streptophyta; Magnoliopsida; Arecales; Arecaceae. The record is from RNAcentral.
GAGUAUUCUGCUAUCGAGAAUGUCUCUGAUGAGAUAUAGGUAUAAGUGUCCCUUAGACCUGAGAUCGCCUCAGUGACUUGCAAGCAACUCACUGUGCUUUGGUACUGGACUAACUGAAUUUCUAAUUCAGGAACGGAAGGCUUCUGGGCACAGUCAAGUACUUGUGAAGUCAGAGUGUGAUCGAGAUGGGAUUGACCACUCCAAGAGUUGGAGAAGAAUGACUCACUGUAUUUCAAUUUAGCAAAACCUUGGCCAGGGUAAUCCAUCAGAUGGAUUUGAUAUUUUGAAAUACAAUGUGGACAACCUGAUCAGAGUUGACAGUUAAACUCUGGGGUAUCCUAUGAUCAUUUUGGUCAAGGGGAUGAAUUAUAUGAAAACUAUAUCCACAUGGGUUCUAAGGAUGUUGUUCUACACAUUCGACCUAUCCGAUCGUCGGGUACCAUUACUAGAUGGUCACUUCGAUUGGUAUAAGAAUUUAUUCUUAUGGUACCGACUUAGGUUCAGACCUAUGAGGUCACACACAUUAGAGUUCAUGAUCCAAUCAGAUGGUUGAUCAACGAUUAAGAAUCGUUCUAGGGUUAAAUGAUCAAUACGAUUGACAUUUAACCCAGUGCAAGUAUUACAGGAGGAUCGAUUAGCAAUUCGAUUACNNNNNNNNNNNNNNNNNNNNCCUUUUUUAGUGAUCCAUACAUGAAAAUAUGAAGGAGGUGCUCAAGAGUUGGGCGUCCCUUAACUUGCCAUGUUUGGAUAAGCCUUGACUAGGUGUUUGACCAAGAUAAGGACUCUAUCAUAUCUCUCUAUAUAAGAUGAGUUUCUUUGUGAACUUUUAGGAGAAGUUAGAGAUUUAAGAGACCUUUGUGCCAUCCAAAAUCCAGAGAGAAAUACCUUUGGGUCGUGGAGAUAUAAAAGAUGCAAGUUUGGGUGUCUAGAGAGAAAAACGUGAAGAAGAAGAGGGUCUUCUUCUAGGGUUUUUGUUUUCAUAUCUUUCCUCCCUCCAUCUUGAGUUUCCUGAGAGCAUCUCAGAUCUGAAACUCCUCCUUCUACUUUUCAUCUUUGGAAGAGUCCAAAUCAAGAAGAAGGAGGUACUUGAUCAACCAUCAAAGAAGGAUCAGCGCAGUACUAGCAUACUGUGCUGAUUUUCUGAAGCAGGACUUCUGAUUG